Molecule: ribosomal RNA, 770 nt
Filed under: uncultured organism
Description: SSU rRNA
Rfam family: Bacterial small subunit ribosomal RNA
Source: RNAcentral
CGCUAGCUACAGGCUUAACACAUGCAAGUCGAGGGGCAGCAUGGUCUUAGCUUGCUAAGACUGAUGGCGACCGGCGCACGGGUGAGUAACACGUAUCCAACCUGCCGUCUACUCUUGGACAGCCUUCUGAAAGGAAGAUUAAUACAAGAUGGCAUCAUGAGUCCGCAUGUUCACAUGAUUAAAGGUAUUCCGGUAGACGAUGGGGAUGCGUUCCAUUAGAUAGUAGGCGGGGUAACGGCCCACCUAGUCUUCGAUGGAUAGGGGUUCUGAGAGGAAGGUCCCCCACAUUGGAACUGAGACACGGUCCAAACUCCUACGGGAGGCAGCAGUGAGGAAUAUUGGUCAAUGGGCGAGAGCCUGAACCAGCCAAGUAGCGUGAAGGAUGACUGCCCUAUGGGUUGUAAACUUCUUUUAUAAAGGAAUUAAGUCGGGUAUGUAUACCCGUUUGCAUGUACUUUAUGAAUAAGGAUCGGCUAACUCCGUGCCAGCAGCCGCGGUAAUACGGAGGAUCCGAGCGUUAUCCGGAUUUAUUGGGUUUAAAGGGAGCGUAGAUGGAUGUUUAAGUCAGUUGUGAAAGUUUGCGGCUCAACCGUAAAAUUGCAGUUGAUACUGGAUAUCUUGAGUGCAGUUGAGGCAGGCGGAAUUCGUGGUGUAGCGGUGAAAUGCUUAGAUAUCACGAAGAACUCCGAUUGCGAAGGCAGCCUGCUAAGCUGCAACUGACAUUGAGGCUCGAAAGUGUGGGUAUCAAACAGGAUUGGAUACCCCUGGUA